CCGGUAAACUUUUCUCGACGAUUC
RNAcentral lists this non-coding RNA (24 nucleotides) under Arabidopsis thaliana (thale cress). Lineage: Eukaryota; Viridiplantae; Streptophyta; Magnoliopsida; Brassicales; Brassicaceae. The record is from RNAcentral.